UACGGAGGGGGCUAGCGUUGUUCGGAAUUACUGGGCGUAAAGCGCGCGUAGGCGGCUUUGUAAGUUAGAGGUGAAAGCCCGGAGCUCAACUCCGGAAUUGCCUUUAAGACUGCAUCGCUAGAAUCAUGGAGAGGUGAGUGGAAUUCCGAGUGUAGAGGUGAAAUUCGUAGAUAUUGGGAAGAACACCGGUGGCGAAGGCGGCUCACUGGCUCGUAACUGACGCUCAUGCACGACAGCGUGGGGAUCAAACAGG
RNAcentral lists this ribosomal RNA (253 nucleotides) under uncultured bacterium. Its description in RNAcentral is "partial 16S ribosomal RNA". It matches the Rfam family "Bacterial small subunit ribosomal RNA", at positions 524 to 776 of the family's 1533-position model. The record is from RNAcentral.